Molecule: unclassified non-coding RNA, 300 nt
Filed under: Hevea brasiliensis (rubber tree)
Lineage: Eukaryota; Viridiplantae; Streptophyta; Magnoliopsida; Malpighiales; Euphorbiaceae
Source: RNAcentral
AAUGUACAAUCCUGUUUUUUUUUUAUCCUUUACCAAACACUUGGAUUUUAGUUGCCUUCUCUUUAUAUUUGCAGUUCUUAUCUUUUCAUUUUUUAUCUCUCAAUUGGGAAUCUGUAUGCUGUUUGUAUGGGGCUUGUUUUUUGGUAUAUUAUAUUUGAGAAUUUGAAGUGCAAUAGUGGAUGGGUGGUUGGGUAGUUGUACAUAAUUUUCUUAAAAUAUGUGGAUACUUUGAAGAUGAGUGUGGGUUACAUGAUCUCAUUGUUUCUGAUGAAUUGCCAGCCCAGGGUAGAAGCUGCAAUG